CAUAUCAAUAAGCGGAGGAAAAGAAACCAACAGGGAUUGCCCUAGUAACGGCGAGUGAAGCGGCAAUAGCUCAAAUUUGAAAUCUGGCCCUCGUGGUCCGAGUUGUAAUUUGUAGAGGAUGCUUUUGGUGCGGUGCCUUCCGAGUUCCCUGGAACGGGACGCCAGAGAGGGUGAGAGCCCCGUACGGUUGGACGCCUACCCUAUAUAUAGCUCCUUCGACGAGUCGAGUAGUUUGGGAAUGCUGCUCUAAAUGGGAGGUAAAUUUCUUCUAAAGCUAAAUACCGGCCAGAGACCGAUAGCGCACAAGUAGAGUGAUCGAAAGAUGAAAAGCACUUUGAAAAGAGGGUUAAAUAGCACGUGAAAUUGUUGAAAGGGAAGCGUUUGCGACCAGACCUUUUCCGGGGGGAUCAUCCGGUGUUCGCACCGGUGCACUUCCUUUGGUUUAGGCCAGCAUCGGUUUUCCUAGGGGGAUAAAGGCUUGGGGAACGUAGCUCUUUAGGGAGUGUUAUAGCCCCUUGCGUAAUACCC
Molecule: ribosomal RNA, 528 nt
Filed under: Sordariomycetes sp.
Lineage: Eukaryota; Fungi; Ascomycota; Sordariomycetes
Description: eukaryotic LSU rRNA
Rfam family: Eukaryotic large subunit ribosomal RNA
Source: RNAcentral